UACAGAGGUCUCAAGCGUUUGUUCGGAGUUCAAUUGGGCGUAAAGGGUGCGUAGGUGGCGCCAGUAAGUCAAGGCUGGUGAAAUCCUUCGGGGGACUCAACCUUCGAAACUGCACUUGAUACUGUGGUGCUUGAGUACUGGAGAGGAGAGUUGGAAUUUACGGUGUAGCAGUGAAAUGCGUAGAUAGUCGUAAGGAAGACCAGUGGCGA
This 209-nucleotide ribosomal RNA is filed under the name uncultured bacterium. RNAcentral's name for it is "partial 16S ribosomal RNA". It matches the Rfam family "Bacterial small subunit ribosomal RNA", at positions 524 to 718 of the family's 1533-position model. The record is from RNAcentral.